UGUAUAAGUCUCUUGGAACAGAGCGUCAUAGAGGGUGAGAAUCCCGUCUUUGACACGGACUACCAGUGCUUUGUGAUGCGCUCUCGAAGAGUCGAGUUGUUUGGGAAUGCAGCUCAAAAUGGGUGGUAAAUUCCAUCUAAAGCUAAAUAUUGGCGAGAGACCGAUAGCGAACAAGUACCGUGAGGGAAAGAUGAAAAGCACUUUGGAAAGAGAGUUAAACAGUACGUGAAAUUGCUGAAAGGGAAACGCUUGAAGUCAGUCGCGUCUGCCGGAACUCAGCCUUGCUUUCGCUUGGUGCAUUUUCCGGUAGACGGGCCAGCAUCGAUUUUGACCGUCGGAAAAGGGCCAGGGAAAUGUGGCACCUUCGGGUGUGUUAUAGUCUCUGGUCGUAUACGACGGUUGGGAUCGAGGAACGCAGCGCGCCGCAAGGCAGGGGUUCGCCCACUUUCGCGCUUAGGAUGCUGGCGUAAUGGCUUUAAACGACCCGUCUUGAAACACGGACCAAGGAGUCUAACAUGCCUGCGAGUGUUUGGGUGGAAAAUCACUAGUGAAUUC
RNAcentral lists this ribosomal RNA (555 nucleotides) under Trametes sp. C30. RNAcentral describes it as "LSU rRNA". It matches the Rfam family "Eukaryotic large subunit ribosomal RNA", at positions 178 to 715 of the family's 3401-position model. Lineage: Eukaryota; Fungi; Basidiomycota; Agaricomycetes; Polyporales; Polyporaceae. The record is from RNAcentral.